UUAAAAAGCUCGUAGUUGAACCUUGGGCCUGGCUGACCUGUCCUCCUAAUCGAGCGCACGGGUUCGGUCGGGCCUUUCCUUCUGGGGAUCCCGAUGCCCUUCACUGGGCGUCGUGGGGAACCAGGACUUUUACCUUGAAAAAAUUAGAGCGUUCAAAGCAGGCCUUUGCUCGAAUACAUUAGCAUGGAAUAAUAGAAUAGGACAGAGGUUCUAUUUUGUUGGUUUCUAGGACCGCUGUAAUGAUUAAUAGGGAUAGUCGGGGG
RNAcentral lists this ribosomal RNA (263 nucleotides) under uncultured Ascomycota. RNAcentral describes it as "partial 18S ribosomal RNA". It matches the Rfam family "Eukaryotic small subunit ribosomal RNA", at positions 619 to 888 of the family's 1831-position model. The record is from RNAcentral. Lineage: Eukaryota; Fungi; Ascomycota.